UGUACCCUGAAGAUCAUCCCUCUGUGUCUCUUAAUUGAUGGCAAAAUAUCUCCCAAGAAGUCUUUGGCCCCCUGUGUUGGAGGAACACACAAAUUCACUGUCAAGUUACCAGUGCAGACCAGCCCAGGGUGCAGCUGGGAGCACUGGUUGUACUGGUGGACUGAACCUGCUGUGUGUUCAGAUGCCACAGGCUGCAAGAAUGAGUGCUUGUGAUUUUCCCCUGCUCCGCUGCUGCAGUGUGGAGAACCCAAUACCAAACUGGCAAAGGGGAGAGCAGGGGAAGGAGCCAGGCCACGAGGCUGAGCCAGUGCUUAAAGAACUCAUCUUGGCUUUGGAGCAGGAGCCUCCUGCCAGUGACAACUGCUGGAGGAUGGCAGCUCAAAAUCCAGCAAAUGGAGCUAGAAAAGUUGGUUUAAAGCGCUGUGCAUCUGCUGGUCUCAUCUCAUUCAUUUGGGUGUCAUGUUUGUGGCUGGCCGGCUUUGAUGGAGCUCAUUUAUACAGAACAGACUGCUGCUUUUGUGAUUUUCAGGACAUCUGAUGCACUCCUGCUCCCACAGAAAAGUGGAUAUUAAAUUCCAUGGAUGAGAACAUGUGAGAGGACCAGAGAACAGAAUGGACAAACAAGGAAAGA
Molecule: long non-coding RNA, 631 nt
Organism: Zonotrichia leucophrys gambelii
Lineage: Eukaryota; Metazoa; Chordata; Aves; Passeriformes; Passerellidae
Exons: 4
Source: RefSeq, a predicted model, not a curated record